GCCGGGCAGUCUUCACGCGCUGGCGUGCAGGCCGCGCAUGCGUUGAGGGCCACACGACCCCGCAAUGGCCCCGGUAGGAGUUUGGGGGAAGUCGCGCGGUGUGUCCUCCUCACCUGCAGUAGGUGUCGGGGGUGGCAGCCGUGGCGGUCUUGGGCGGAGUCCGGGGAUUAUUUGGAGCUGGGAUUACCGAGAAACCUCGUGGCUCGCUGAGUGGCCCGUGGCGGUCGGCUGCCAUCUCAGCCCAGCGAGGGCUUUUCCACCCGCACGUUGCCAUUCGUCACCUGCCGUACUAGUUGCAACCCUCAUGCCACGUCUGCAGAAAUAACCAUAACCUUGCUGCCUGCUGAGGCUGUUUAUUGAGAGCCCACCGAGUCCCAAGCGCUGUGCAUAAAUAGCUUCAAUUCUUAAAUCUUUGCAAGUUUCUGGACCAGCAGAGCUGAGGGUGUCCAAGCUUGUUCUGAGGCAACUCAACUGAGGUCAGCCCCAUGGCUAUUCCACAUGCUUCAAAUGAAACUUCCUAUUUGCUGCCUCCAAACAAGGAAGACUGGGAAGGGCAGGGCAUUCCUGACUUUGUCUACGGGCAGGAGGAACUCGUGAUGGAAGGGGUUCAGUGGCCAAGGGGCGCGCUCAGCCUCCUGAACACGCCGCCACUGUCUCACUUUGACUCUGCCCUCUGCUCAGCCUGGAGGCAGCGGAUGGAGCUGGGGCUCUUCCGCUACCCACUGGGGGAGCUGCCGACCCAAACCCUCCCUGGGACCGUGGGUUUUGUGGCUCAGCUGAACGUGGAGCGAGGUGUGCAGAGAAGGUGCCCCCAGAACAUCAAGAGCAUGAGGCAGGAGUUUGACCCUGAACAGUUUAACUUCAACCAGAUCCGGCCAGGAGAGGUCCUCUUUCGUCUGCACCGGAAGCGGGACUGCCCCGGCACUGUCCAGCAAGAGGACAUCCUGGUGCUGAUCAACGUCAGCCCCUUGGAGUGGGGCCACGUGCUGCUGGUGCCCGAACCUGCCAGGGGGCUCCCCCAGCGCCUGCUGCCCGGGGCGCUGCGGGCCGGGGUCGAGGCUGUACUGCUGAGCUCACACCCGGGCUUCCGCGUGGGCUUCAACAGCCUGGGUGGCCUGGCCUCGGUGAACCACCUCCACCUGCAUGGCUACUACCUGGCGCACCGGCUGCCCGUGGAGGGGGCCCCCAGUGAACCCCUGGACCCUCGGGGCCGUCUGCAUGUGCUCCAGGCCCUCCCAGCUCGCGGCUUCCUCUUUUACACCAGUAGGCCAGGGCCUGACUUGGAAGCCUUGAUAAGCAGGGUGUGUCGGGCCACUGACUACCUGACUGACUGUGAGAUUGCGCAUAACUUGUUUGUCACCCGGGGGGCCCCUCCUGGAAAGACAUCAUCUUCCUCAGCUCUCUCGGGAGUCCGGGUCAUUCUGUGGCCCCGGAAGCCCAGCUUUGGGAUAAAGGAAGGUCAGGCAUUCAACGUUGCCCUCUGUGAGCUGGCUGGGCACCUCCCGGUCAAAACGGCCCAAGACUUCAGCAGCCUGACAGAGGCAGCCGCUCUGGCCCUCAUCAGAGAAUGUCUGCUGCCCCCAGCCCAGGCAGAAGAUGUGCGGGCUGCGCUGGUGGCCUUGAUAGCCCAGGAGGAAGAGUAAUCCUCCCAGCAGUAUUCUAACUGAUCCGGAGAACUGUCCAUCGUGGUGCUGUGAGCGCAUUCAUGAAUGCCUUCUCACCGGUUUCAGCAUAAGGGGAGGGAUAAAGAACCGAACCCUGGCCAUCAAUCUGACCAACUGCAAGUAUGAGAGCGAAGCACCUAGCUCAUCACUCAAAUGACUGGGCAUCAGAGGAUAUUUAGGGUUGCAGUUUUCACUCUGAAGACCGUUCUCGCCAUUUGCUCGCAGCCCCUGGAUCUCGUUCAGUUCAGUUCAGUCACUCAGUGGAGUCCAACUCUUUGUGACUCCACGGACUGCAACAUGCCAGGCCUCC
This is an RNA transcript of Capra hircus (goat), 1974 nucleotides long. It is a transcript of the gene named GDP-D-glucose phosphorylase 1, with no coding region annotated. The record is from RefSeq and is a predicted model, not a curated record. The transcript is spliced from 4 exons. Lineage: Eukaryota; Metazoa; Chordata; Mammalia; Artiodactyla; Bovidae.